This 624-nucleotide ribosomal RNA is filed under the name Geomyces sp. APA-2013. RNAcentral describes it as "eukaryotic LSU rRNA". It matches the Rfam family "Eukaryotic large subunit ribosomal RNA", at positions 24 to 664 of the family's 3401-position model. Lineage: Eukaryota; Fungi; Ascomycota; Leotiomycetes; Thelebolales; Pseudeurotiaceae. The record is from RNAcentral.
UACCCCGGUAACUUAAGCAUAUCAAUAAGCGGAGGAAAAGAAACCAACAGGGAUUACCUCAGUAACGGCGAGUGAAGCGGUAACAGCUCAAAUUUGAAAUCUGGCCUCACGGUCCGAGUUGUAAUUUGUAGAGGAUGCUUCGAGCAUGGUCUGGCCUAAGUUCCUUGGAACAGGACGUCAUAGAGGGUGAGAAUCCCGUAUGCGGCCAGGUGCCUACGCUCAUGUGAAGCUCCUUCGACGAGUCGAGUUGUUUGGGAAUGCAGCUCAAAAUGGGUGGUAAAUUUCAUCUAAAGCUAAAUAUUGGCCAGAGACCGAUAGCGCACAAGUAGAGUGAUCGAAAGAUGAAAAGCACUUUGGAAAGAGAGUUAAACAGUACGUGAAAUUGUUGAAAGGGAAGCGCUUGCAACCAGACUUGCGCGCGGCCGAUCAUCCGGUGUUCUCACCGGUGCACUCGGCCGUGCUCAGGCCAGCAUCGGUUUUGGCGGCUGGAUAAAGGCCCUAGGAAUGUAGCUCCUCUCGGGGAGUGUUAUAGCCUAGGGUGCAAUGCAGCCUGCUGGGACCGAGGACCGCGCUUCGGCUAGGAUGCGGGCGUAAUGGUUGUAAGCGGCCCGUCUUGAAACACGG